UACGAAGGGGGCUAGCGUUGUUCGGAAUUACUGGGCGUAAAGCGCGCGCAGGUGGUCCUUCAAGUCAGGGGUGAAAGCCCAGAGCUCAACUCUGGAACGGCCUUUGAGACUGUGGGACUUGGGUACGGGAGAGGUGAGUGGAAUUCCGAGUGUAGAGGUGAAAUGCGUAGAUAUUCGGAAGAACACCAGUGGCGAAGGCGGCUCACUGGCCCGUUACCGACACUCAGGCGCGACAGCGUGGGGAGCAAACAGG
RNAcentral lists this ribosomal RNA (253 nucleotides) under uncultured bacterium. RNAcentral describes it as "partial 16S ribosomal RNA". It matches the Rfam family "Bacterial small subunit ribosomal RNA", at positions 524 to 776 of the family's 1533-position model. The record is from RNAcentral.